This 352-nucleotide long non-coding RNA is filed under the name Malus domestica (apple). RNAcentral describes it as "long non-coding RNA (MDOM_LNC011856)". The record is from RNAcentral. Lineage: Eukaryota; Viridiplantae; Streptophyta; Magnoliopsida; Rosales; Rosaceae.
CUCUAAUCGGGUCGGUCUCACUCCCGACGAGAUGAUGCGCCUCCCUACCGGCCCCAAGGAGCGCUCUGCCGAAGAUAUGCAGUACGGUCGCCUAGGUGGCGGGUUUUCCUCCUAUGGUCGCUCAGGUCCGAAUCCGGGUCGGGGCGGGGACGGAGAGGGCGGAGACGGGUCAUGGGGUGGUGGUGGAAGAAGAUCCUACGGUGGAUUCGACGACGACCGGAGGGGCCCGCCUUCUAGGGUUUCUGAUUUCGAUCAGCCGUCAAGGGCGGACGAGGUUGACAAUUGGGCAAUGACUAAAAAAUCUCUUCCUUCUGAAGAUUCGAGUAGGCAGAGCCGGUAUAGCUCGCUCGGU